RNAcentral lists this long non-coding RNA (522 nucleotides) under Pan troglodytes (chimpanzee). RNAcentral's name for it is "lincRNA". Lineage: Eukaryota; Metazoa; Chordata; Mammalia; Primates; Hominidae. The record is from RNAcentral.
GCUGGAGUGCAAUGGCAUGAUCUUGGCUCACUGCAGCCUCCACCUCCUGGGUUCAAGCGGUUCUCGUGCCUCAGUCUCCCAAGUAGCUGGGAUUACAGGCUGGAGUGCGAUGGCAUGAUCUUGGCUCACGGCAAACUCCGCCUCCCUGGUUCAAGUGAUUCUCCUGCCUCAGCCUCCCGAGUAGCUGGGAUUACAGGCAUGUGCCACCAUGCCCCGUUGGCCAGGCUGGUCUCGAACACCUUACCUCAGGUGAUCCUCCCACCUUUGGGAUUACAGGCUGAGGAAUUACCAAGGAGGCAGGAGGUGGAGCAAAACACACCAAGCCUGAUGCCAAUCAUUGACAAUAUUAUGGAACUGACUCAGCGCAAGAAGACAGCUUCGACUCCUUAUGAUUUCAUCCCUAACCAAUCAGCACUCCUGGCUCACUGGCUUCCCCCAACCCACCAAAUUGUCCUUAAAAACUCUGUUCUCCAAAUGCUGGGGGAGACUGAUUUGAGUAAUAAUAAAACUCUGGUCUCCUGC